Triticum aestivum (bread wheat) is the source of this 661-nucleotide long non-coding RNA. RefSeq lists it as uncharacterized. Lineage: Eukaryota; Viridiplantae; Streptophyta; Magnoliopsida; Poales; Poaceae. The transcript is spliced from 3 exons. The record is from RefSeq and is a predicted model, not a curated record.
GCUUCAGUUUUCAACGCCUUCUUUUCUGUUUGUGUGGGCUGAAAAUGUGUGAGCUUUAUAUGGCACAAGGGUGUGCAUUCACUGAUGAAUCAUUAUAUCUUUGAUAUUACGAAUGUUUGAAGUCUGAACCUCCUAUGUACGACGAUGUGUAUAUUCUGUAAAAUGUGUAUUUUCAUCAUUUGUCUGACAGUCUAAUACUGAGCUUAAACAUGUACUCUUGGAUGAUAUGCGUGAGUUGUGGACUUCCUGCCCUUUAUCACAAAUCUACAGGAGAACCUACUCGGCGGUCCUGAUGUUGCACUCGGCAGCGGCGCCGGCGGUGGCAUCGUCUUGUUUCAGAUUUACUGAAUUGGCCAUGAAGGGUGGCUGAGCCAUCAGGAGCGGCAGCGGUGGCCUGCUGCGGACGCUGCUGCGGCUCCCUGUUCUUCAUCGCCUGCGUCUACCUGCUCCGUGCCGACCCCAUGUAUAUCCUCUCCUCCCCGUGCUUCUCUUGCCUGGGAGGCAACUCUUCAGUGUGCUUGACAUGGUCCAUCUUCUCCUCCCCAUUGCUCUCUCUAAUCCCCAAUGUUCACAUUUGGUCUGCUCUUGUCUUGUAGAUGUGCAGGAAGAAAAGGGCCAUAAGAUUGUACAGGCAGAACAUGAUGUUGUUCUGUUCAACCAC